CCGCCAUUAGCUUAUCAGGAAGAGCAGACGACACCAUAACAGGGUUGUUGGUGCGGGGUUCGAGUCUCCGAUGGCGGUCCA
Molecule: transfer RNA, 81 nt
Filed under: Escherichia coli
Lineage: Bacteria; Pseudomonadati; Pseudomonadota; Gammaproteobacteria; Enterobacterales; Enterobacteriaceae
Description: tRNA-Val
Source: RNAcentral